GAUGAAGAACGUAGCGAAAUGCGAUAACUAAUGUGAAUUGCAGAAUUCAGUGAAUCAUCGAGUCUUUGAACGCACAUUGCGCCCCCUGGUAUUCCGGGGGGCAUGCCUGUCCGAGCGUCAUUGCUGCCCUCAAGCACGGCUUGUGUGUUGGCUCCGUCCCCCCGGGGACGGGCCCGAAGGGCAGCGGCGGCACCGAGUCCGGUCCUCGAGCGUAUGGGGCUUUGUCACCCGCUCUGUAGGCCCGGCCGGCGCCAGCCGACAACCCAUCAUCCUUUUCAGGUUGACCUCGGAUCAGGUAGGGAUACCCGCUGAACUUAAGCAUAUCAUAAGCGGAGGA
This 337-nucleotide unclassified non-coding RNA is filed under the name soil metagenome. RNAcentral's name for it is "partial contains 5.8S ribosomal RNA, internal transcribed spacer 2, and large subunit ribosomal RNA". The stretch from base 1 to 120 matches the Rfam family "5.8S ribosomal RNA", at positions 35 to 154 of the family's 154-position model. The record is from RNAcentral.